GCCGCGGUCGCAUAACCUGGUAGUGCGCAAGCUUGGAGAGCUUGUUCCCGCAAGGGUAUCAGGGUUCAAAUCCCUGCCGCGGCG
Molecule: transfer RNA, 84 nt
Filed under: Candidatus Woesearchaeota archaeon
Lineage: Archaea; Nanobdellati; Candidatus Woesearchaeota
Also listed under: 1 other name
Description: tRNA-Ser
Rfam family: tRNA
About the family: Transfer RNA (tRNA) molecules are approximately 80 nucleotides in length. Their secondary structure includes four short double-helical elements and three loops (D, anti-codon, and T loops).
Source: RNAcentral